CGCCUGGGGAGUGCGGCCGCAAGGCUAAAACUCAAAGGAAUUGACGGGGCCCCGCACAAGCGGCGGAGCAUGCGGAUUAAUUCGAUGCAACGCGUAGAACCUUACCUGGGUUUGACAUGGAUCGGGAGUGCUCAGAGAUGGGUGUGCCUCUUUUGGGGUCGGUUCACAGGUGGUGCAUGGCUGUCGUCAGCUCGUGUCGUGAGAUGUUGGGUUAAGUCCCGCAACGAGCGCAACCCUUGUUCACUGUUGCCAGCACGUUAUGGUGGGGACUCAGUGGAGACCGCCGGGGUCAACUCGGAGGAAGGUGGGGAUGACGUCAAGUCAUCAUGCCCCUUAUGUCCAGGGCUUCACGCAUGCUACAAUGGCUGGUACAGAGAGUGGCGAGCCUGUGAGGGUGAGCGAAUCUCGGAAAGCCGGUCUCAGUUCGGAUUGGGGUCUGCAACUCGACCUCAUGAAGUCGGAGUCGCUAGUAAUCGCAGAUCAGCAACGCUGCGGUGAAUACGUUCCCGGGGCUUGUACACUCCGCCCGUCAAGUCAUGAAAGUUGGUAACACCCGAAGCCGGUGGCCUAACCGUUGUGGGGGAGCCGUCGAAGGUGGGACUGGUGAUUAGGACUAAGUCGUAACAAGGUAACCGUA
This 637-nucleotide ribosomal RNA is filed under the name uncultured Propionibacterium sp. Its description in RNAcentral is "bacterial SSU rRNA". It matches the Rfam family "Bacterial small subunit ribosomal RNA", at positions 870 to 1504 of the family's 1533-position model. Lineage: Bacteria; Bacillati; Actinomycetota; Actinomycetes; Propionibacteriales; Propionibacteriaceae. The record is from RNAcentral.